RNAcentral lists this ribosomal RNA (253 nucleotides) under uncultured bacterium. RNAcentral describes it as "partial 16S ribosomal RNA". It matches the Rfam family "Bacterial small subunit ribosomal RNA", at positions 524 to 776 of the family's 1533-position model. The record is from RNAcentral.
UACGAAGGGUGCUAGCGUUGUUCGGAAUCACUGGGCGUAAAGCGCGCGUAGGCGGUUAUUCAAGUCAGGGGUGAAAUCCUUGGGCUCAACCCAAGAAUUGCCUUUGAAACUGAAUGACUGGAGUAUUGGAGGGGAUAGCGGAAUUCCUAAUGUAGAGGUGAAAUUCGUAGAUAUUAGGAGGAACACCGGUGGCGAAGGCGGCUAUCUGGCCAAUUACUGACGCUGAGGCGCGAAAGCACGGGGAUCAAACAGG